Molecule: non-coding RNA, 95 nt
Organism: Schizothecium vesticola
Lineage: Eukaryota; Fungi; Ascomycota; Sordariomycetes; Sordariales; Schizotheciaceae
Source: the annotation of a GenBank genome assembly
GGUCCGGUGGUGUAGUGGAUAUCACAUCGUUCUUAUAGAUGAGUCUUUGUGCUCUUCAUAUGCGAGGGUCCUGGGUUCAAGCCCCAGUCGGACCA